CGCACAGAAGAGGCAGCACUGGCUGUAAUAUCAGACAGGUCUCUUGAGUCCCCUGUUGGGUGUUUAUUUGUACUCUUCCCUGUCUUGCAGCAAAGUCUGGCCACGCGGAUCCUGCCGACAUCACUCACUUUAAACACUUUGCAUCUUGUUUGACGGUCCCGGUGAUUUUUGUAAAGGAGUAAAGAUGGAAAGCGGCGUCCGGGCUGCCGAAGGCUCACGGCGAUCCCACGACCCCCGCGGUGGAACGUUCCGGAGGGAUCCUCACACCCGACAUGGAUUUGUAAUAAAGGGAAUGUUAGCGAUGCA
This is a long non-coding RNA of Spea bombifrons (plains spadefoot toad), 306 nucleotides long. RefSeq lists it as uncharacterized. The record is from RefSeq and is a predicted model, not a curated record. Lineage: Eukaryota; Metazoa; Chordata; Amphibia; Anura; Pelobatidae. The transcript is spliced from 2 exons.